AUGGAAGCAGCUGCGGUUGGCACCGCCGUCGGCAAGCUCGCGCCUAAGCUCUAUGACCUGUUGCUAGCAAAUCGCAAGGUGCGGGCGGAGCUGGAGCAUGACAUCGAGUACAUCAAGAAGGAGCUUCUCAUGAUCUCUGCCGUCAUCCGACAAGAUGGCGGGAGGAGGAGGGGCGGCGACGACGACGUCCACGGCCGCUGGAUCGCGAUGGUGCGUGAGCUGGCGCGCGAGAUCGAGGACUGCGUCGACACCUUCACGCACCGUGUGGCGCUCGGGUCCGGCACGUCGUGGAUCCGUCGGGAACUCCACCGGGUGAAGACGGUGAGGGCCCGCAACCAGUUUGCUGCGGCGAUCCACCGUCUCAAGAAGAAAUCAGCGGAGGCAGCCAUGCUGAGAAAGAAGUACGAGCCAGAUUCAUCAUCCGUUCUCACAACAAACUUCCACACCGGCAACACCGGAUCCAGCUGCAACUUGGUAUCUGAUGAUGAGGAGGAUCCGGAGACGGACACGGUGGCCGUGGGCAUCGACGCUCAGCGGGAUGAUCUCCUGGAGCUGAUAAGGGGACAACAACCCGAGGAGCUCAAGGUGGUCUCCCUUGUUGGGUUCGGUGGAAUAGGGAAGACUCUUCUCGCCCGGAAAGCCUACAACGACACGGUUGAGGAAGGGGAAUACGCCGUACGGGCUUGGGUUCGUGCUGCGGACAAAAGCUCAAGGUAUGUUCUCAAGGAGAUACUAGGGCAGCUUGGAAUUGCAGGCAGCAGCUCCUGCCAUCUCAGGAAGCUCCGCGCAAGCCUCAGAGAGUGCCUCGGAACCAAGAGGUUCUUCAUUGUGAUUGAUGACAUACGAGCUGCAUUUUGGCACGAUAUAAAAGAUGCCUUCCCUAUUGUUCCCGGGGUGAGCAGCAUAGUUAUGGUGACGACAGCCAUUCAGUCCAUAGCAAAUGCCUGCAGCACCGCUCAUGGUCAUGUCUAUGUGAUGAAAACUCUUGCCGAGGAACAUUCAAGACAGCUGUUCUUCAAAGAAGCUUUCUUGGAAGAUGCACCGGCACCUGGUGAUCGCUCGCAGCUUAGUGCUUCACAAGCACUGACCAAAUGUGAUGGUCUACCCCUUGCUCUUGUUACCACUGCCCAGUUCUUGCAAAGUAGAGGGAAUCCAGAAAGGUGGGCAAAUCUAUGCAAAUACCUUGGCAAACAUUUGGAGACAGAAAAUACCUUAGCAAGAAUGAAGCGUGUGCUCGUCCAUAGCUAUACUAGCCUUGGUAGUGAAGAUGUCAAGACCUGCUUGCUAUAUCUGAGUAUUUACUCAAGUGGCCAUCCAAUCAGAAGAGGAAUUCUGAUAAGGAGAUUGUUAGCUGAAGGACUCAUCAAUGAAGACAAUAGACGCAGUCCCCUCAGUGUUGCUAUUGACUGUUUUGAUGAGCUGGUCAAUCGGAGUAUCAUUCAACCUAUUCAUGCCAGCGGUGCAGAGGUGAAGAAAUGCCAGAUUCAUGGCAUGAUGCUCGAGUUCAUCCUGCACAAGUCCAUGUGUGAAGACUUUGUUACAUCAUUGUAUGAUAAGGAUCCCCUACCUGGGAGUAAUAUCCGUUGGCUUUCACUGCACAAUAAAACAGUUGAAAGGUCCAAAACGAAUCCAAAGAGUUUAUGUCUUGUCCGGUCCCUGACAGUCUUCGGCAAGGCGCACAAAUCUGUCUUGGACUUUUCCAUGUACAAACUGUUGCGUGUCUUGGAUCUAGAAGAGUGCAAUGAACACUUGGAUGACAAGCAUCUCAAGGAGAUAUGCAAUCUGUUGCUGCUCAGAUACCUAAGCCUCGGGGGCGCUGUUAUGGUUACUAUGCUUCCCAAAGAGGUCAAGAAGCUUCAAUUUUUGGAGACAUUGGACAUAAGAAAAACCAAGAUAGAGAUUCUGCCCACACAAGUCAUGGAGCUGCCAUGUUUAGUUCAUCUGUUUGGAAAGUUCAAGCUCCAACACAAUGUCGGAGACCGGAGAAUGGGUAAGCUAAAGACUUGGUUAUCAGAGAACAGCAAAUUAGAAACGCUGUCUGGAUUUGUUGUGGACAAGAGCCAAGAAUUGCCACAGCUCAUGGAUCAUAUGGAGUACCUGACAAAGGUGAAAAUAUGGUGUGAGUCCACCGGCACCAAUGCCUUUGCCAACAACAACUUAAGUCAUCUCUCAAAAGCCAUCAAGGGGUUCAUCCAGAGAGGCACCCAACCAAACGAAGCUCGUUCACUCUCGCUGAACAUCAACGAUGAAUGGCCCCAAGACUUUCUGGAUUUCUCCCUGGAUAAGGAUUACUCCUACUACCUUACCUCACUCAAACUACGAGGGAACAGAAUAUGCAGCCAGCUGCCUCUGUUUGUUACCAUGCUGGGUGGUCUCACUAAGUUGUGUCUGUCAUUCCCUGAUGAUCAUAAGCUCAGUGGUAACUUUCUAGAUUCCCUGAGUAGAGUGUGUGGCUUGGAGUACCUAAAGCUGAUUGCAACUCAACUGGACAAGCCUGUCAUUGGACAAGGCGCACUCAGAAGCCUACAAUGCCUAUGCGUCAUGGUAGAAGUCAUGACUGAGCUGGAAAUCCAAGAGGGAGCUAUGCCACGUGUCGAAUCACUCCAGCUGCUAUGUAAGAACAUGAAUGGCUUUAGUGGGACGACGAUCCAGUGCCUGCCACGUCUUAAGGAGGUCGUUCUCCAUGAUGGACUGAGCAACCAAACAAAACAGGACUGGAAAGAAGCAGCAAAGAGACACCCAAGAUAUCCCAAGCUCUUCUUCGUCACGAGAGAAAUCGUUAAUGAGCCUACUGCGAAAUUUAUCCCGGCGGCAACAAUUACUGAUAUGAUGGCCCAAGAGGUUCCUGUGGGAAGUAAGCUUGCAGAGAAUUUUGAUAGCCCUGAGAUACCGCCUACUGAUACGACGUCAUCAAUGACAACGCCUCCCGGUGCCAUUUCGAAUGGAGAGUCCGUACCGAUUGCUACUUCUGAGCUGAAAAAUGAGCCUGCUGUGGAAAUCCCCAUGGCACCAGCUGCUACUACUAAUAUGACAUUGCCGGUGAAUGAUGAGGCUUCUGCUAAUGCACAACAAGAAUAUUCUGUACAAGUUGUUACUUCUGAGAUGGGGAGUGUGGUGGCUGCAGAAAACCAUGUGGCGCCAGUUACUACUGAUAAUGCGACCUUCUCGGUGAAUAGCGAUGCCUUUGCUAAUGCACAACAAGAAUAUUGUCCAAUCAACAACAUGGAAAGUUUUAAAAAGAAGAUUGAAGGGGUGGCUAUUUGA
RNAcentral lists this ribosomal RNA (3264 nucleotides) under Triticum aestivum (bread wheat). RNAcentral's name for it is "partial small subunit ribosomal RNA". Lineage: Eukaryota; Viridiplantae; Streptophyta; Magnoliopsida; Poales; Poaceae. The record is from RNAcentral.